GGAAGGCAAGCUGCUGCUGGGAAGUGGUGGAAGAAUAGUGAUAAGCUUAGGCUAAGAUGGUGGGAUUGUUGGUAGCUUUGGGAUUCAAGGCAAUAUAGGAGGAAGUGGUGGAAUUGGUACGCUGGGAAGUGGUGGAAGAAUGGGGGUAGGGUUAGGAAGUGGUGGAAUUGGUACUGGUACUCUAGGAAGUGGUGGAAGACUGGGGGUAAGGUUAGGAAGUGGUGGAAUUGGUAAUCUGGGAAGUGGUGGAAUUGGGAAUCCAGGAAGUGGUGGAAGAAUGGGGGGAAGUGGUGGAAUUGGUGGAAUUGGUGGAAUUGGUGGAAUAGUUACUUGCUGAAGAUUUCGAGCUGCUAGGCUAACCUCCAUGCUUGAAAAACCCAACAAAAUGAAACAAGCUAAUAAAAUGAAAACGUUGGAACCUGCCAUUUUUUUUGGAGAGAUGAACUAAAGAUUGAAGAUUUGAGUUGAGGUUUGCAUUGAGGAAAGCAGGAUUGCUUUUCAGGUAUUUAUAGCCACAUUUGAAAGACUUAAUUAAUUAUUUGUUUGAGAUAUUAUUCCCCUACUUAGCAUACUACCUUUUCUCACCCAUCUGUCAUCACCAACAAAAAGAAGAAGAAGAUAAAUUAGACUCAUCCUUAAACUUAAAAAUAUUCUGAAUGAGUCGAUUUGUCUAAUGUUAGUUAAAAAUUAAAUGCUUUUAAAUUUUGUGUGAACUAUAUCUUUCUAUUUCCAUUUACCUAAUGCCAGUUAAAAAAUAAAUAUUUUUUUAUAUAAUGAGUGUAUAUUUGACUUACGUAUGUGGCGCUCUAUUAAAAAAAAAAUUAAAUUAGGUGGAUCAAAUUUAAAUAUUAGAUAACUAUACAUGUUGGUACUUAAACUUGGUAUUUAAGAUUUUUUGUUGUCCAAUUAAAGGUUGAAUUUAAAUUAGAUAGUUGAACUUGAUUUCUUAGUUCAAAUUCCAAGCUUAGAUACCAAAAUGUUUGGUAUAAUAUUAAAUUAAAAAAAUUCAAGAUGUAAAAUACUAAUUUAACAUUUAAACUAGUUGCCCCAUACAGCUACAAUGGUAAUGAUAGAAGAAAAGUAAUUGAAUGGGAUUAGGAGAUGAAGAUCCUAGUAAAGCCACCUCUAGAGGUAUGAGAGUUGCGACCACUCUAUAAUUGAAUGCUACAAAAAUGGUUAUAUCUAGGAAUCUUUCGCCAUUAGCUAAUAAUGGAAAUAGCUAUGUAUCACUUAAAAAACAACAAUUCAUAUUUUCUUGAAAUAUAUUCAAAAAAUUGAAAAAUAUAAAAAAUAUCAUUUUUCUAAAAAUCCAAAAAUUUUAUGUGAAUAUCAACAAAUUCAGAAACUAAAAGAUAUGGAAAGCUUUAAAGUUUUUCCAAAAAGAUAGAAAUUUGCAGAAAAUUAGGUAUUUAAGAUUCCAAUAUUUUUAUUUCCCUUCUUUCCUGAUUGGAGAAAAUAUGAAUUAGGUGACGCCAUCGUUAACAAUUGGGGCAAGGUAAGACACGGUUGGAAACUUCAAGUAGGUGUAAUUUUGGGGAAAUAUUACAUUGUUUAAUAAUGAAUAUUGACAUGAUUUACCCUGAGUUAAAUCAAUUAUAUUUUACUUAUAUUUUCUAUACAAAUUUUAUACAAGCCUAAAUUAAUCAUAUUCAAUCAUAUCAAUCUCAAUAUUUUGAAUAAGAUAAUAAUAUUUUCUUAAAACUAUAACUAUAUAAAGUAUUGUAAAAAUAAUUAUUCAAUUAUACAGCUAUUUUAUUUGUAUAAUUAUAAUUAACAUAACCUUCUCCAUCAUAUAAUUAAAAUUUGUUCAACUUAUAAUUACAACAACUUUCCGUGAAGAAAAGAGAGAGACACAAAUACAAACUAAUGAGAUUAAAUAAAUCUCAAAUAUAAAAUAUUCUUCAAUAAACAUCAUUAAUCAAUCUCAAAAGAAACAAGAAAAGAAAUUCAUAAAUUAAACAAUAAGAAUAUAAUAUAACAAUCCAUUAUUUAAUAAAUUCAAAAAAAAAAAUCACAUUUAUAUUUUAAAUUUUAUUGGUCUAAUUUUAGAUAGGUUUAUAAACUUCAAAUGAUUUAAAAUAUUAGUGUCACGCCCCUAAAUAUAGGAAGGUUCAUUGAAAUGAAUAAAUAAGAAAUGUGUUGACACCAUUUUUUUGAUGAAAACGGGGUUGACUUGGAUUUUGAAAAUGAAAAUUAAAAUGACAGUCGCCACCAAUCCUUUUUGAUAAGGUGUGAUCGGAUCACCUUGAAAAGUGGUUGUUUUUAAUAAACGAUUUAAUUUUAUUAAAACAACGAGUUUGGUCCACGAAAUUCAGAAAAAUGGGUUCGGGAGUCGGUUACGUACGAGGAAGGAUUAGCGCCCUCGUGACGCCCAAAAAUUGGUACCUAGUUGAUUAGUUAAUGUCUUAAUGUCAAAAAUUGUAAACUUUGAAGAAUUUUAAAAAUACGAUCCUUAAUUUUUUUAAAAAGAAAACUUAUAUAAAUCAAGUUACUCGUUAAGACCCUCCCAUUUCAGAAAGAGAAAACGUCACGCCCAAUGCGUUAGGGCACGAUAUUUUACCUCUUCAGAAAUGAGCUUGUCUAAAAACUUACACAAUAAAAUUUUAAAGGGCAUUCAAUUGUUUAAGUCAUGUGAAAAAUUGCAACCCAAUACAUUAGGGCACAAUUUCUCAAAAUAUUAAACAUUGAAUAUUGCAUUUAUUUUGAAAAAUCCUCAUAUCCAAUGCGUUACGGCACAACGUACUGAAUUCUCGAUAAUGAGCUAUUUAUUUAUGUUUUUGUUUUAAAGAGCACCCUCGAUUAUUUAGAUCCAACGAAGAAAAUUGGAACCAAUACGUUAGGGUUCAAUUCUCUCGAAGAUCCCAAAUACCGAGUAUUACUUUUAUUUUGAAAUUUUCCGUUUUUGAUAAAUCCGAGUAAAAAUGGAUGCAAAAUAAUGAUAAUGAUGAUAAUGUAAGUAAAAUAACACGAGCAAAACAAAAUAUAAAUAAAUAAUAAGACUAAUAUAAAUACAAUCGUGCAGGCGCAAUAACAAAUAAGAAACAGAUAAAAACUAAAGCAAGAAAAAUAAUAAUAACAUACAUGUAAAUAAAUAACUGAACAAAAUUAACAAAAUUAAAAAAAAUAUAAAAGAUAUAUUUAUACAUAUAUAUGUAUAAAAUUAUGAAAAUAUUAAAAACAUAUGCAUGUACACAUUUUUGAAGCUAUUAUACAUGAAAAUAUAUGUAAGUAUAUAUGCACAUACAUGAAUACGUAUAGAACCAUCAUCAAAUAUAUAAAAGUAUAUAUAUAUAUAUGUAGGUAUAUAUGAAUCACAAAAUUUAAAGAAUAAUAUAUAUAAGAUAUAUAUUUUGGAAGUAUAAAGAAUAUGUAAGAAUUUAUAUAUACAUACAUUUAUAUAUGAAAAUGAAAUAUAUAGAUAUGUAUGUGGGUAUGUAUAAAUAUUAUAAAAUAUAAAAACAUAUAUGUGUACGCAUAUAUAUAAAAAUAUACAUAUGUAUAUAUACAUAUAUAUUAUGAAAAUAAAGCUAAAAAAAAACUAGUUAGUGUAUUAACAUAAUUGUAACGACUAAAUAAAGGAAAAUAAUAAUAAUAAUAAUAAUAAUAAUAAUAAUAACAUUAAAAUAAUUAACUAAAUAAUAAAAAUUGCUAAAAAAAGAUUAAAUCGAAAUAAAAACGAAAAUACUGGGCAAAUUCGAAAUAAAAAAAACGAAAAGGAUUAAAUUGCUACACGCAUCGAAAGAGGGAGACCAAAACGAUAAAUAAACCAAAGCCCCAAAACGCAGCGCUGCAACGGACUAAAAUGAAACAAAAGGAAAACUAUGUGGCUAAAUUAAAAUAAAAGAAAAUAAUGAAAAAGGGCCAAAUUGCAACUCGUUGCAAAGUCGGAGUGACUACGCGCGCAAAUAUCCCCUUUUAAGAAAACACGCGGAUCCUCCCCCAGGGUCGGGUCACCGAGCGGGUCAGGGCCAAAAUGGCGUCGUUUUGGCACCUGACCCUAAUGACAAAACGGCGCCAUUUCGUUUAGGGUAUUUAAACCUAAUUUUUCCCAAAAAACCUAAUUUCAGCCACCAUUUAAAAAAAAUAAAAAACUUUCUUUUUCUUUCAAAAAUCUGACUUUUGGGGUAAAAUUUUUUACUUUCUCUUGAUAUUUUGCGCGAAUAUGAAUUGUUUUUUUUUAAAAAAAUAUGUAUAAAAAUAAAAAUGAACGGGUAUAAAAAAGAAAAGAGAUGCGAAACUAAAAUCACAUUGGAGUGAAUCUGUUUGUUUUUUUUAAAUCUGUUUUUGUAUUAUUUAAAAGUGUUCUUACAAAAAAUCUAAAAAGGAACCCCCUAAAUUACAGAAAAAUUUGGCUUUUAUAGCCGAUUCUCCCCCCUCAUUCUUUGCUCUGUUGCUUUUCUAUUGCUUGCAGGGACUUGACGCGGUGCAUGUGGGGUGUCGGUGGCAAGUGGGGUGAUGGAACAUCCGACGGUGGCCGUGGCUGCUGGUGAUGCGACUGGUGUGCGGCGGCCAAGAGCUAGGGUUUCAGAAAAGCUGAAACCCUAGUUUGACUGUUGGGGUUGGGAUUUUGGGCCAAUUGGGUUAUUGGGCCUCGAGUUUGGGUUUGUAAUUGGGUUAAUUUAUUUUUUUUGGGUUUUAUGUUUGGGUUUAUUGAAUAUUGGGCUGAGGGUUAGUGGGUUAGGCCUAGGUGGGUUGGUUUGGGUUUUGGGCCCCGGGCUAAAAUUGGGCUUGUACAAAAUGAAUUAGGUUUAAUGGCUAAGUGUUAAAGAAUUCACCUUAGAGACUUAAGUUCGAGUUCCCUUCCUUCCUUUUUAUUUUUGGUAACUUGGUUUUAGGGUAAAGUCACACUCAAAAUAUAUACGACUAGGAAUUAAGAAUAAAUAAGAAAUGGGCAAUAGGUCCAAUGGUUAAGUGUUAAUCCCCUAUCUUAGAGAUCUUAGGUGUAAGUUUCCUUUUUCCCCUCCCAUUUUUCUUUUGGAUUUCGACAAUAAGGGGAAAUUUGCUGUGCCACCCCUAGGGUUUUCAAACCCGAGCUAUUUAAUCAUUCUUUUCCCAUUUGGAUUAGUUUUGCUUCUUUUCAAAUUCUUGUAAAAUUUCUACUCAUAUUAUAUUUCUCUUAUAUUUAUUUUCUUUUCCUUUCUUUUCAUUGUAACACCCUAAACUCGGUCGAAUAGGUUCGACCUAAAUUUGGAGAGCUACAUUAGCCACCGAAGUGACUUUCCAUUAACUCCCAAUCUAACCUCUAACACACCACUUACUUGCAACGUAUAUUAUGAUAAGUUAUAUCAUAACAAGGGUAUAAUAUAAUACAUAUAAUGUAAAUCAUGCAAGCUUAAAACCAAUGUAACACCCCAAACCCGGCUGAGUAGGUUCGACCCAAAUUUGGCGAGUUACAUUAGCCACCGAAGUGACUCUCCAUCAAUUCCCAACCUAACCUCCAACACACCACUUACUUGCAAUGUAUGUUAUGAUAAGUUAUAGCAUAACAGUGAAAUAAUAUCACAUAUAGAAUGUAAAUCAUGCAACCUUAUCAAACAAAAUGAGGGAACGGUUCGCAUGUUAAUUACUACGUAAGGCUACGUAGUAAGGUUAUCGCACCUAAGGGUUCACAAGCAUAUAGGGGGUCACAAACAAACAAAGGUCGCAGAAAAUAACACUUCGCAAAAAAAAUUGGCUCGCGUAUGAUGUUAAUACAUAUUUUGGAAAAAUUGAAAGAAUGCGACAUGGUACUCAUGCUAGGAGAAUUAAAGAAACAUCAAAGUAUAUUCAUGCAGAGAAGAAAUUAGUAAUAAAGGUUUAACUUCAUGGUUCGCAAAAUAUUAAAAGAAUAAACUUAAACUUUAGGGAAAUCGUUUCAUUAACAGAAUCAUAUAAUGAUAAAUCUAAACCUAUAUAAAUAAAACCCCAUCACCUAUUUCCCUAGGUUCGCAUUAUUUGUUCAGAGAUAGCCUCGCUAUUGCCAUUGGCGACUUACUUACCUGCAAAGUAAGAGAAGAGUGGGUGAGUUCAUUGCGAACUCGGUGAAUAAUCCGGAAUCAUCAACGUAUGAUUAAAAUACAGAGUUUAAAAUAGAAAGAAGACUUAGUAUGAAAAACUAUUGUAUCGCGUGUUGGGUUCGCAGUGAAUGCUAGGUUCGCAGUGAAUGUGCGAGACCCAGUUUAUAGAACCUGCUUGUCAUAAAAUCAUAUAAGUUUGAAAAUAGUUUUGCAUGUACUUACUGAAAAUCAUACUUAAAAACUUAGCUUGUUCUUGUUUGAAAAUGGAUCUUUUAUAGAAUGAAACAUGCUCACAUACUUAUCUUAUCGGAAUGGCUGAGGAAUAUAAAAUAUGUUCUUGCACUUUUCUUAACUUACUUAUAUUAUCUUGUCUUAUUUUGUUGGAUAUGUGGAUCUCUUUAUAACGCCUCAGAAUGACUCAAAGAGUCCUUAAGAUGUCCCAUAAGUGUAACAUAAGCUAAACACUCUCUUGUACACCAACAUGUCCUAUUGAAUGGAGCAUAGCUUGGCGUUCCCUUAUCUCUCCACAUGUCCCAAAGCCUCAAUGCCCAAAUCACAAAACUUAUUGGUGAGUACUCACAAUCCUUUGGUAUACAAAUAUAUCCAAUAUAUAAGCUCACAAAGGCACUCGUAUAGAAACUUAGCACAUAGAGCUAGAAAAAACAUAGCUUAUAGAACUGUAUUUUUAAAACAUGCUUUAAAACAUAGGCUUGCAUAGGAGCAUGCGUAACACAUAUCUUUAAAACAUAGCUUAAAACAUAUCUUGAAAACAAAUUAUCAGAACUUUUAAAAACAUAGUUUUAUAGGAAAAAAAACUUACUCUUGGAACUUAGUUUUUAAAAAAAAAAGAUUCUUAGAAAACAUAACAGUUCACACACAAGUUACGAAACCUGAGCAUUCAUACUAAAAAACAUGAUAGUUACCACACUUAUGGCAAUUCUUAACCACUCAUCGAUAAAACUGAAAAUUUAAAUGAGUUUUGCCUUGCCUUUAUCCUUGCUGUAGAUAGUCUGGUUGGUUCGUAACAUGCAUAAACACACAAAUUACUUCAAUAGACAAAACUUACGAACUUCACACAUGCAAGCGAACCUAGCUUUCUGGACAAUAAACCCUAAUAGGAAAAAUGCUUACCUUGGUUGCUACGAAUUUGGUUCAGAACAAAGACUUGACAACAAAAUAACGAUGAAAGAAUUUUUCCUAGAAUAAGGAUUGUAUUUAUAGGCACUAAGUAUCUUAGUGACCUUAGGAUACCCUAUUUGACUUAGGAACCCUCUACGGUUUAAAAGAAGGUUACGUGCACGAAAAGUAUCCUAGAUACACAAUAUAUUUAUUUCCUAAGUUUAGUCUAACUUGACUUUUGAUUGGCGAACCCCUAGUUUGUAACUCAAUUGUUGAACCCCAGCUCACUAAACAGAUUGGAGAACACAACUUUCAAUGAAUCUAGCGAACCUCUUACCACAUCAUUUGGCGUGCAGCAGUUUGCUAGAACACUGGCAAACUCCUUACUGGUAUCCCCUUUGGUGAACCCUAGUUUGCUGAAACACUAGUGAACCCUCACUUGUAAGGUCAAAACUUCUAGAUCAGGUUUCAGGAUGUUACAAACACCAUAUUUUUAUCAUAAUUGUUGUUGAUUAUUUUUCUUUCCUGAAUCAAAUCAUCUUUCAUUAAAUUAUUUUUCUAUUAGUUUUGUAAUUGUCGUCAAUAGCACCUCUAUAUUUGCCAAGAAACAAACCGAAUUUAGGUGAAUCAGACCGAAAUAAAGUGUGAAGAACAUCAACCGGAACUGUGGUGAAAGGUGUGUGUCUUUUCCAAGUGAAUCAGUGGUGAUCUGUGUACGAUUAAGGCCACAUGGGCUAUGCGUGUGGUCCACCAACUACCACACAACCAUGUGCACUUGUAGAUUUUAGGGACUUCAUGAACCAUACGGCCUCAGCCAGUUACACGAUCGUGUCUUUCCUGCAAGGUUUAUCAUUUUCCACAUGGAAUCAUGCUGUUACAUGACCGUCUAACCCUUACACAGGGUCUUACCCUUCUCACAUGGCCUGGCCAUACAGCCGUGUGACCCUGUUUUACAGUUUUGACCAAAAAUUUAUCAUAUGUUCAAUUUAGUCCUCGUUUAUCCCUUGAAUUAUUUUAGAGUUUUCAUUCACUCAAUUAAGUCCUUGAUAUUGUGUUUAUUCUAGAAUCUGUGAUUUAAUGACUAAAUUCCUAUUUUUAUAUUGUAUGAGAUGUGAAUAUUACAUGCCUACUGUCAUUGUAAUACUGAUAAACUAUUAAUGAUAAUAUUGUUACCACCCUAUUGAGUACAUGUUAAGCAUGUCUACUGCUAAUGUUGAACUGAAUACAUGAUAAGCAUGUCUAUUAUUAUUAUUUUUUGUAUUGUUCUAUUACAAAGCAUGCCAUAUUGCAUUGCAUGGGGUGGGACGAUAUGUAUGGAGAAAGGGUGACAGUUUAAUAAUCUGCAACCCAGUGGUGGCUCGUCCACAAACCCAAUGGCAGUUUAUCUGCAAAUGUUUUAACUAAAAAUACUGGUUGUUUAUCCGCAAUUUUUACAACGAAGUGGUAGUUUAUAUACAAAUCAGUGGUGAUUUAUCCACAACUCGGUGUGUAUGGAUGGAUGAGUUCUGGGGAACUCAUAGUGUGGUGUGUAGUGAAGUUGGGUAGGACCUUUUCUGAUAAACUGAAAUUGCAUUGCCAUUCAUAAACAUGUGCAUACAAACCAUGAAUUCUAAAUAUUAUAGUGAAGUGUUGAAUUGGAAAACCGAUAUUGUGAAUUGCUAUACGAUUGUGGUUAUUCUAAGAAUUGUUAUUUCGUAUGCUUUGACCACUAUGUUACACCGAUUUUCUUGUGAUAUGACUCACAUUGAGCUUAAGUUCACCCCCUUUUAAUUUCCAUCUUUAUAGAUAACCCACCAGGUUAGGACAUAGACACAACAUCUGGAAGGUCUUGGCUCAGAUAAAUUUUUUUAUUAAAAGUAUUUUAGACUUAUUAUUAUUUCUAUUAUUUGGAAUUGUAUUGUUUUAUUCAAACUUUGGCACGAGACUUAAGUUUUGAGUUUAUUUGACAUGCAUGAAAUUUAAUUUGAAUAUUAGGAUAUUGAAACAUGGAUUUUAAACUAAUUAUGCAUGAAAUUUUGGUUUCGCCAUCAUUAAAAAUAUUUUGAAUAUCAUUUUUCCGCUACGAUAUUAUGAAAAUAAGAAUUUGAAAAAAGUAAAUGAAUUGGAAAUCAACUUUUACUAAGUAAACUUUAAAAUCCAUUGUUUUUUGGAAACUUUUAUUUUUUAGUGAAAACAUGAUUACACGCAAAGUUUUUCUUCAAUAAUAAGCAAAUGUUUUAAACAACUGUUUUAUAAAAACUCCGAUAGUUGUAGUAGGCCAUUUCGGUAGCCAAUGCAAUCUUUUGAAUUCAGUCUUAACGUUUAGGCCGAGUUGAGGAAGUUACUAUUAGCAACUUAACAUUAAUUUGAACAUUAAAUGUUGGUCCAAACUUGACACGAAAUAUAUUUAGAAUACAUAAAUCAAAAAAUUAGUAAGUUGGCUACUUGGGUUAAUUUAUUGGUUUGACACAACAUAUCCUAUAGUAAUUCAAUGGGAUUAGAACAUCCCAACUCCUAGUUGAUUUAAUUGCUAGGUUAUCUAAGUCCACGCUUGCAAUUAUUGCUUAAAGCAUUUGUUUAAUAAAAUCUUAAAUUCCAAUGGAGGUGCUUUUUCAUAAUAUGAGGUAACCUAAGAAAAAGGAAAAAGUUGAACAUAUUGUUAAGUUAAAAUUGAACAAAUUAAGGCAAAGUGUACAAAUGGAGUGUCAUCAUUCAAAUCGGUCCUUCUCUUAAUUGUCAUAAGCCAAUUAGGUAAGCCAGAUUCUUUUAAUAAAAAGUAAAGAUUUCAUGGCAUCCCUAAAGCAUUGCAAAUUUUUUGUAAGCAUUAAAAUGGCAUUAGUUGGUACAAUACUGGUAUUGAUCUGUAUAUAUUGCUUCGGUUUUGAUCAGUACCAAAUAGUUUAUAUUUCGUUCAAUCAAAAUUUUGUUAUGUUUGAUUAUUUCGGUGUGUUUCGACCUAUUUUGGUCAAUAUCGGCUUGUACUAGCUAGUAUAAAAUUUGAUAUUUUAAACUAAAUUUUAAAAUUUUUUAAUCUUAAUUAUUUUAAUUUUGGCUAAAGGGUCUUCAAAGCCCUUGAACAUUAAAAUUUCAAUCAAUUAAGCCCAUCACACAUUAAAGUUAACGAUCAACCAUGAAAGAGCAACAAUAGCCAUUAUGAGCAAUUGUUUUCACCACGUGGCAUGUUAGACUGUACCACGUGACGAAAUAUGGUGUUUUAAAUUUAAAACCAUUAAAACUAUAGAAAAUCAUAAAAUAUUAAAAAAUUACAAAAGUUAUAAAAUUAUAUAAAAAUGAACAAAAUUAUAAAAAGUAGUAUAAAUGAUACAAAAAUUAUAUAAAUUAUUAAAAAAUUGCAAAAAGAAAACAUUAAAAAUAAGCUUAAAAUAAGAAUAUAUAAAAAAAUGUAAAAAAAAAAAAUUAGAAACUAAGUUUCGGAUACACAGCUCUGGCUGUAUUUUUCAUAAAUAAAAGCUUGGUUGAGAUUUUAGAUUUGGUAUAAAUACAAUAAAUAUAAUAUUUAUAGUAGUAAACAAGUGAAUGAAAUUAAGUAAUUGUGAUUGAGAUUCACCAUGAUUAUAUUUAUAGGAAUAAAAUAUUCCUAUAUAUAAUGAAAGUGUAAUUGAAUAAUAAAAUUCAUAUUAAUACAAGUUGCUUUAAAACAAAAGUAAAUAAUUUGAUAUUGAUCUUGUGAAACAAUUGAAUUUUGGUUUUGUUAUGGGAUUAAAUUAGCAAUUAAUCCUUUUUAAGAAUUUAGAGAACGAAUUAGAUAAGUUAGACAUAAAAGUAGAAGAGUAAAAAGAAAGGAAGUAGUGGGUAGAUUAACAUAAUUAGGAGUUUAAAUGAUAUGAUAAUAAUUAAAGCUUUAAUUUAGUUAAGGUAAUUAGAAAUGUUUGAUCAUAUUUUAGAUGUUAAUUGAAAUUAAACGAGUUAAUAGGUCGAAUACAAGUUUAUAUUUUAGUUAAGAUAAUUAAGAGUUUAACUAGAAUUAAAAAAAAAUAAGAAGCACAUUGAAUCGUCGAUGAAUUGAUUUGAUUCUAAAUCCAAACUCAAGAGAGUAGGAACAUAAUCCAUUGGAAACAACACUUUUAAGUUGUUUAAAUUUUUGAGAAAGAAAAACACUUUCAACCUUUUUUUUAAUCCCCACUCUAUCCACCAACCUACUCGUUGCUUUAUAAGUCAAAAUCGGGAAAUUAAAUAUUACACUAUUACUAAUUCGGUUAAAUUGGUUAAUUCGGUCAAAUGAAUAUUAUCGAUUUUUUGAUAUGUUUUUUUACUUGUUUUAACCAAAAAAAUAAAACAUAUAAAUUUCGGUUAAUUUGAUUAACCGGCCGAAUUAAUCGAAAUAUUUCGAUUUGGUUAAUGGUUAAAGAUACUAAUUCGAUUCGGUUAACUGAUCGGUUAAUUGUUUGAGCACCCCUAAAAAUAAGUCAUGGGACCAACAUACUGACUUCCAUACAAUUGUUAGGUAUAUAUAGCAACUCAUAAGUAUGAGUAGAAUUAGUACGCAGUACCUUAGAUUCAUUGAGCCACAUUUCAAAGUUUCCCAUGAUCUCUUUUGCUGUCAAUGAUAUAAUAAACUUUUUGUAUUCACAAUUAUGUUCACAAUAUAAAACAUAAUUGGUCGACUUGAAUACAAUUAAAUGAGACACUCUAAUGUUCUUUCCUUUUCCUCAAAUCUCUCUAUUUCAAUUCAACUACUCUCUAGAUAUGUCCCGUUAGAUUGAAUCAUACAUGAUCAUCGAUAGCCUACUAAAAUAGCUAAUAUUGAUGUAAAACUUCAAGAAACAGUUAAAGGUCAUGAGGGUACUUAGUAUAGAUCUUCAGUUGAUCUCAUGGGUUUCACACAACAUAGAAGCAGAGAUCAAAUCUUCUAUUACCCAUUUUGUUCGUAUAAUACACAUGUAGUAUGAAACACAUGCUAUGGUAUUACUCUCACUUUCCUUGAAGUGUAUGUCUUUAUCAAAAAAUCAAUACCACAUAGGUGAUAAUUCAAAUACACUUAGUAUCUAACUCGAGUCCACAACUUUAUUUUCUUAAUAGAUUCAACAACAAGACUUUCACCUGGAAUAAAAGACAUAUAAAGUGAAAAAUUCAUAUUUAAAUUAUCAAACAUAAAUCAAAUUGAUUAUAAUUAUAUCAUUUUGCAUAUAGCUCAUGUCGUGCAAGUGCACACUUUAGCCCCAACAAGUUUGGACCUAUGCCCUUCAUGCAUGCAAGGCAAGAUUCCAAACAUAAUCAUUCAAUCAUCAUUUAUGUGGGUUCUCAUAUAUAUACACAUCUCACACUUGGUAUUUAACCAAUGUGGGAUCUAAGCUUUUCUUUUCCUCAACAAAUAUUCACAAGUAGCUUACUUUGAGCACCAAUUUCUCAUUCAUCACUCAACCAUUUUGAGCAUAUGAUAUACUGUUGUAAAGGUCUCAUGGAGUAGAAUAUAAAAUCAUAAUUUUAUGAUUCAACUCUCAACAUUUACCAAUUAAAAAUAUGCCUCAAAGUUCCCAUAAAUUACAAAUUUUCCAACAACUUUUGAAUGCAUUAAUCAUUAUCAACAUUAACUCAAGUGAGGACAAGAAUAUAUUAUUCAACUUGCAAUCCUAGAGUUUUGACAUUCCUUUAAAAAAUCUCUAGGAAUCGGUUUUGUAAACUGAUUUGCAAUCCUCUUAUGCAUAGACUUUCUCUCUUGUUGUGAGAUUUACCUUCACACUUAUUUUUUCCAAUAUACUAACUUUAGAUAUUUGGAGUUUGGAGUUGGUCAAACAGAUGUAAAAGCUACCUUUUCCAAAUGAAAAUCUGGAAUUUACACAGACAAAGUAGAUUUCAUUGACAAAGGUGAAAUGCAUAGUCUGGGCAAGUUAUGAAGAUCAAUUUUAUGAUCUUAAGCGAUUUUCCAGAUAGUGAUAUGCUAUUUUUUUUAAUUAAGAAACUGUUUAGUUUGAUUUAAUCAUAAUUGAUAAAGACCACUUUACUCAUGUUAAAAGAAGGAAAGAAAAUUUUGUAACUAUGUCAUUUUAUGUGGGUGACAUGUUGUUGGCCGCAAAUGAAUUAGUGCUUAUCAUUAUGGGUUAUGCAAGACUACAUGUCAAUUCAUACGAAUGUGUCCUUUUUUCAAUGUUGUGAGUAGCAUCAUAUAUGUUAUGAUGUACAUAAAGCAAAGUAUCUCUUGUAUAGUUGGAUUCAAGACACUCCAAUCCAAACUCAUUGCAAAACAAUGAAAAUGAUAUUGAGGUAUUGAAAAGACACUAUGGAUUUUCACCAUGCUAUCUAAUUGUGAAUACAAAUACCUAUUAAUUAAAAGGAGAUUUAGAUGAAAUAUUGAAAUCUAUCUCCACACAUGUGUUCGUAUUUGAUAAUGGAGUGAACUCUUAAAGUAGUAAGAAAUAAACUUGUAUAGCAUGGUCUAUUAUUGAUGCUGAAAUUGGCAUUUUUAGCGAUGGUUCAAGAGAGUGUUUGGGUUAAAAUAAUCACGAUUAAUAUAGUUACGUUAAAGCAAAAUAUCUUCUAUAGUUGGAUUCAACAUAGUCCAAUCCAAACUUAUUGCAAAACAAUGAAAAUGAUUUUGAGGUCUUUUAUUGUUCUCUCUUGUAUAGUUUGCAUCUCAAGGCACUUUCUUGUUGAUUACGAUGAACAAAAAACGGUUGCAAGCUCUGGGACGAGCAAGAUCAAUAUCUUUAGAGAUCAAAUGAUGGUUAGUAUACAAAUUUAAAAACUAGUUUUUAUAAUUUCAUUUUCAUAUAGUUUUUAUUUAUUUUUUAUUAUAAAUUUUAUGCUUUUUAUAAUAUUUUAUAUGUUUUAGUAUUUUUACAAUAUUUUAAUAACUUUCUAUCUUUUUAAAUAUUUAUUACCAUUUUUAUUUUUAAUUCAAAUAAUUUAUUUUUUUCCAAUUUUCUAUAUUUUAUAAUAUUUUUAAUAAUAUUUUAUAUAUUUAAAUAUUUUUUCAUAAUUUUAAUUUUUUUAAAUUUUUCAUAAUUUAUAUGUUUUUUUAAUUUUUAUUUUAGUACUUUUUAAUGCUUUUCACAAUUUUUAAUAAUUUUUAUAAUUUAUAUUUUUUUUUCGUUUAUAAUCAUUUUUAUAAUUUAUAUAUAUAUCUGCAAUUUUAUAUAUUUUAUAAUUUUUGCAAUUUUUAUAUUUUAUAAAAUAAUUUUGUAAUACUCCAAACUCGGCCUUAACGUUAUGACCAAAUCUAGAGAUGCUAUGAAGAUACAUUAAAAAAAAUCUAGAAUCUGUUGAUUUUAUAAAAUGAUACUUGCCCUUAUUUAGUAAAAUCUGAGUUUAUUUGAGAAAUUUAUCGUUUUGAUGGGUUUGUCAAUUAUUUACUCAUAAAACUAGUCGAAUCCAAUUUGAAAACACGAUUUUUUUUGUUGUUGUAAAAUCCAUUAUUCAACAAUUCAAUUUUCAACCCACCAACGAGGAAAUCACACAGGACUUCCUGCUAACCUACCAUCUUUUUUCAAGAGUUCAAACCCAAUCCAACACCACCAACUCGACAGCACAUUAAGGGCUAACAAAAAUAAAUUAGAGACUCAAACGAUAAAUUAACAUCUUAUCGUUGAACUAGUAAACUCAUUCUAUCACAAAUUGAUCAAAAAUAGUAUUUAAGUGGUAAGGAACAAGAUAAGGAUAAAAGACAAAAAUAAUAAAAUUUCUUAAAAAUGAGAUUUGAACCCUAAUCAGUAAAACAAAUACUUAUUCAUGACAUAAAUUAACAAAUUAAAAAUUCAUAUUUUUGGGUCUUAAAAGUUUUUAAUAAAUUAUAAUUACUUGAUUCCAGUUUCUUUAUUAUGCCCAAAUUUAAGAUUAAGCCCUAUAUUUUAAUUUUGACAUAAUUUGAUUUAUUUAUUUUUAUAAUGUCAUUAGUUAUCUUAAAUCGCUAACAUUAUUAGCUAUGCCAAGUAAAAUAACAUCGCGUAUUUUUUUUCUUAAAAUCAUCACUUCUAACUAAAUAAUGGCUUAAUCACUUUUUUAACUAAUUAUACUAACAUAGAUUUUUUUUAGUUGGAACGAGUAUGUUUAAGGAAAAAUCACCUCAACACUUUACUUGAAAUUAGUAAUCACAUUAAUUAUUUGGACUAACUAAAUCAUUACUGAAUCACCUUCUAACUAAUUAUAGUAAUGUAUAUAUUUAAGAAAAAGCUCACUUUAAUGUUUUAACUGAAAUUAUUAACCGUGUUAAUUACUUAAACUAACUAAUGAAAAAUAUUUCAAAUUAAUUUAUACUGAAUAACUCUCAAAUCCAAGUAUAAUAAAAUAAUAUGACUAACUCAAACUUGGCGUUGAAUUGAGUUUGGGAGUAAAAUAAUCACAUCACUCAUUGGCAAAGCAUGACUGUGAUUAUGAUAUGGUUUUUCGAAGUAUAACUAUGGUGGAGUUGAUAGCAUUGAUUAGAAUACCUUUAUAAAUGAAUAUAUAACAUUUAAUCAUGUAUAUAUUUUUAAUAAUUUAAUAACUUAAAAAAACACCACACUUUAUUAUAUAUGUAAAAUGUAAAUAGAAGCUACAUUCUUAUUUCAUGAAAUAACAUCAUAGAGAAUGUGAUGGCAGAGUUCAUUCUCAGUAAUAUAUGUGAUACUAAUUAGGAAUCAAACUGUCUUCAAUGGCUGGAUGGAGGUGGAGGUGGAGGUGGAGACAUGAAAGGAAUGGAAGGCAAGCUGCUACUGGGAAGUGGUGGAAGAACAGUGAUAGGCUUAGGCUAAGAUGGUGGGAUUGUUGGUAGCUUCGGGAUUCAAGGCAAUGGAGGUAUGCAGGGUUGAGCUGAGAAUGAUGGUAGAUCUAGGAUUGAAGGCAAUGGAAGUAUGUUGGGCAACUUACGAAGUGGUGGUAGUUCUAAGUUCUGGGAUUGAAGGAAAUGGUGGUGGUUCUGGGAUUAAAGGAAGUGGUGACAUCGGAGGUGGCAAUGGUACCGGUAAAUAUGCAGAUGGCAAUGGUACUGGUAAAAAUGGAGGUGGCAAUGGUAUUGGCGACAAUGGAGGUAGCAAUGGUACUGGUGACAAUGGUAUUGGCGACAAUGGAGGUGGCAAUGGUAUUGGUGGAAAUGGAGGUGGCACUUGCUGAAGAUUUCGGGUUGCUAGGCUAACCUCCAUGCUUGAAAAACCCAAGGAAAUGAAGCAGGCUAAUAAAAUGAAAACGUUGGAAGCUGCCAUUUUUUUUUGGAGAGAUGAACUAAAGAUUGAAGAUUUGAGUUGAGGAAAGCAGGAUUGGUUUCGGGUAUUUAUAGCCACAUUUGAAGGAGUUUUUUAAUUAUUUGUUUGAGAUAUUACUCCCCUACUUAGCUUACUACCUUC
RNAcentral lists this long non-coding RNA (16369 nucleotides) under Gossypium barbadense (sea-island cotton). RNAcentral's name for it is "long non-coding RNA (GBAR_LNC014561)". The record is from RNAcentral. Lineage: Eukaryota; Viridiplantae; Streptophyta; Magnoliopsida; Malvales; Malvaceae.